Molecule: ribosomal RNA, 466 nt
Filed under: uncultured bacterium
Lineage: Bacteria
Description: bacterial SSU rRNA
Rfam family: Bacterial small subunit ribosomal RNA
Source: RNAcentral
GCCAGACUCCUACGGAGGCAGCAGUGAGGAAUAUUGGUCAAUGGCCGAGAGGCUGAACCAGCCAAGUCGCGUGAGGGAAGACGGCCCUACGGGUUGUAAACCUCUUUUGUCGGGGAGCAAAGCGAGUCACGUGUGACUCAUUGAGAGUACCCGAAGAAAAAGCAUCGGCUAACUCCGUGCCAGCAGCCGCGGUAAUACGGAGGAUGCGAGCGUUAUCCGGAUUUAUUGGGUUUAAAGGGUGCGCAGGCGGAGGUGCAAGUCAGCGGUCAAAUUGCGGGGCUCAACCCCGUACUGCCGUUGAAACUGGGUGCCUUGAGUGGGCGAGAAGUACGCGGAAUGCGUGGUGUAGCGGUGAAAUGCAUAGAUAUCACGCAGAACUCCGAUUGCGAAGGCAGCGCACCGGCGCCCUACUGACGCUCAGGCACGAAAGCGUGGGUAUCGAACAGGAUUAGAUACCCCGGUAAAA